GUUAGGAAUAUUGGACAAUGGGCGAAAGCCUGAUCCAGCCAUGCCGCGUGAACGAUGAAGGCCUUCGGGUUGUAAAGUUCUUUAGCCGAUGAUUAUAAUGACUGUAGUCGGAAAAUAAGCCCCGGCUAACUUCGUGCCAGGAGCCGCGGUAAUACGAAGGGGGCGAGCGUUAUUCGUAAUCACUGGGCGUAAAGCGUGCGUAGGCGGUUUUGUAAGUUAGGAGUGAAAGCCCAGGGCUCAACCUUGGAAUUGCUCUUAAAACUGCAAGGCUCGAAUCUCGGAGAGGAUAGCGGAAUUUCCAGUGUAGCAGUGAAAUGCUUAGAUAUUGGAAGGAACACCAGUGGCGUAAGCGGCUAUCUGGACGAGUAUUGACGCUGAGGCACGAAAGCGUGGGGAUCAAACAGGAUUAGAAACCCGGGUAGUCC
RNAcentral lists this ribosomal RNA (425 nucleotides) under uncultured bacterium. RNAcentral's name for it is "partial 16S ribosomal RNA". It matches the Rfam family "Bacterial small subunit ribosomal RNA", at positions 354 to 796 of the family's 1533-position model. The record is from RNAcentral.